GCCGCCUUAGCUCAGUUGGUUAGAGCGCUAGAUUGUGGAUCUAGAGGUCGCCCGUUCGAACCGGGCAGGCGGUACCA
Molecule: transfer RNA, 77 nt
Filed under: Pseudomonadota bacterium
Lineage: Bacteria; Pseudomonadati; Pseudomonadota
Also listed under: 2 other names
Description: tRNA-His
Rfam family: tRNA
About the family: Transfer RNA (tRNA) molecules are approximately 80 nucleotides in length. Their secondary structure includes four short double-helical elements and three loops (D, anti-codon, and T loops).
Source: RNAcentral